AUAUCUAAGUCUGAAAAUGAUACACACUAAAACUAUAUAUAAGCAAAUAAAACCAAGAAUCGGAGAAAGAUUCAUGAUAAACACUAGGGUUGAGAUGCCUUUUAUCCGGAUUGGGGUUUCCAAAAGUGUGAAAAGACAACAUUGGGCUUUACUGUAUACCGUCACUCGCAGGAGCGACAUUAGGUUCACAGCAGCGGAGUCGUUUUGGUGCCAUUUUCUUCGUAGGCAUGAAAGGCCUUUGACUCUUGACUCUCGCAGGCGCGGCAAAUGAUCUGCAGAAGUGGAGUCGCAGAUGCGACUUUUUGUUCGCCGGUGCAGCUUCUGUGGAACAAUGCUCUUUCACUGGUGCACUUGUUCUUUCGCCGGUGCGGGCUCACAGACGAGAGCCUCCUCUCGCAUGUGCGAGCAACAUUCGGAGGCCAUACUAAGGGAAAAGCUCUAGAAUUAUGAUGCGGAGCAUGCGCGGUCUGCUAUGAGGUCUGAGCGCCGGUUACCAGCAUUGAUAUUGAGCCUAUAGUUGUUGGAUUUGGAGGCGAGGGUGAGCAUAUGGAGUUCUGGACUUUACCUGUCUCCAUCUGUAUUUUGUCUGCUAGUCUUUUGUUUUUUGAGACAAGCCUUUGUAGUUUAGAUUCACUUUUGGGACUUGUACUCUUUUAUUUAGCAGCUCUAUUCUUAUGACUUCCAGGUUCUAGGAGGGAUAUUAUUAUAUAUAUUUUAGUUUUCUUCUGCUUUA
Molecule: long non-coding RNA, 733 nt
Organism: Solanum dulcamara
Lineage: Eukaryota; Viridiplantae; Streptophyta; Magnoliopsida; Solanales; Solanaceae
Exons: 3
Source: RefSeq, a predicted model, not a curated record